Molecule: long non-coding RNA, 518 nt
Organism: Pectinophora gossypiella (pink bollworm)
Lineage: Eukaryota; Metazoa; Arthropoda; Insecta; Lepidoptera; Gelechiidae
Exons: 2
Source: RefSeq, a predicted model, not a curated record
AUGGUGCGUAAAUAAAAAGUCUAAAAUACGAACCUCUCCCAAGUAUCGCUUUUCAAUUUAUGAGCUCGUCUUACAAAAGCGGAGCGAAACGCGGCGUGAAAACCAAAAGAUGAUAAAUAAGCACAUUAAGUAUAUCGGGCUGUCGCGCCAUAAUCGCCGCUAGAAUACCGCAUAAAGAAAAGGUGUCCCUGCGCCGGUGGCGAAAUUUUUCUGUAGGUACGGCGGGAUAUACCUAUUUAACUCUAAAAACUUUAUUUAAAAAACAAUUCAACGGCAAGUAGGUAGGUUGGUAAUUUAUUUAUUUAUUGAGAAUAUCCAACAGCUUAUUAAAUAACAAAGAAUAAUUACAGUAGGUACAAUGUUUGUUCGCCAAUCACAGGAUUUACCACAAAUAAAACGGAUUGUAGAACUUGAUGAGAACAGUAACGAAACUAAGGAUACAAAGCUAGGCUUAAAGUAUAAAAUCAUUAAAAUGCUAUAAGUAUUUAUAAAAAAAUAAACAAAAAAGUGAGAACAUG